Molecule: ribosomal RNA, 959 nt
Filed under: Antrodiella romellii
Lineage: Eukaryota; Fungi; Basidiomycota; Agaricomycetes; Polyporales; Steccherinaceae
Description: eukaryotic LSU rRNA
Rfam family: Eukaryotic large subunit ribosomal RNA
Source: RNAcentral
ACUUAAGCAUAUCAAUAAGCGGAGGAAAAGAAACUAACAAGGAUUCCCCUAGUAACUGCGAGUGAAGCGGGAAAAGCUCAAAUUUAAAAUCUGGCAGCUUUGGCUGUCCGAGUUGUAGUCUGGAGAAGCGUUUUCUGUGCUGGACCGUGUACAAGUCUCUUGGAACAGAGCGUCGUAGAGGGUGAGAAUCCCGUCUUUGACACGGACUCCCAGUGCUUUGUGAUGCGCUCUCAAAGAGUCGAGUUGUUUGGGAAUGCAGCUCAAAAUGGGUGGUAAAUUCCAUCUAAAGCUAAAUAUUGGCGAGAGACCGAUAGCGAACAAGUACCGUGAGGGAAAGAUGAAAAGCACUUUGGAAAGAGAGUUAAACAGUACGUGAAAUUGCUGAAAGGGAAACGAUUGAAGUCAGUCGCGUCGGCCAGAACUCAGCCUGGCUUUUGCCUGGUGCAUUUUCUGGUUGACGGGCCAGCAUCAAUUUUGAUCGCUGGAUAAAGGCCUUGGGAAUGUGGCACCUUCGGGUGUGUUAUAGCCCUUGGUUGUAUACAGUGGUUGGGAUUGAGGAUCACAGCAUGCCUUUACGGCCGGGGUUCGCCCACGUUCAUGCUUAGGAUGCUGGCGUAAUGGCUUUAAACGACCCGUCUUGAAACACGGACCAAGGAGUCUAACAUGCCUGCGAGUGUUUGGGUGGAAAACCCGAGCGCGCAAUGAAAGUGAAAGUUGGGAUCCCUGUCGCGGGGAGCACCGACGCCCGGACCAGACCUUUUGUGACGGAUCCGCGGUAGAGCAUGUAUGUUGGGACCCGAAAGAUGGUGAACUAUGCCUGAAUAGGGUGAAGCCAGAGGAAACUCUGGUGGAGGCUCGUAGCGAUUCUGACGUGCAAAUCGAUCGUCAAAUUUGGGUAUAGGGGCGAAAGACUAAUCGAACCAUCUAGUAGCUGGUUCCUGCCGAAGUUUCCCUCAGGA